RNAcentral lists this long non-coding RNA (405 nucleotides) under Hordeum vulgare. Its description in RNAcentral is "long non-coding RNA (HVUL_LNC010885)". Lineage: Eukaryota; Viridiplantae; Streptophyta; Magnoliopsida; Poales; Poaceae. The record is from RNAcentral.
CUCAUUAGAAAGAAGAGGGUUCUUCAGUUAAUUAAGGAAAAACCAAUACAACAACCCACAAACAGACUACUCACAAAGAACAAAACAUCAUAACCGCUCUAGUGGCUUACCCCGCCAAAGAAAAUUAAAAAAAAUGAUUAGAACAAACUUUGCAUUUCCGUGCACACUUGUUCCCCGGAAUAAUAAACGGUCUGAUCGAUCUGCCCCUCUUCCGUGGCGUAUCCAUGCGGGCGAGCGGGCCAUCCAGCGAGGAGUUCUUCCGUGGCGUGCCCAUGCCUGCCUCCAUCAUUACCUUCUUCCCGUGCCGUUGCCAAAUCUUGGACGAAGGCACCACCACGUCCACAUGCACGCACGUCACGGCCGGCGGCCACACGAAUGCAUAACGGCGGCAUCGAUCCAUGCAGG